Molecule: non-coding RNA, 31 nt
Filed under: Mus musculus (house mouse)
Lineage: Eukaryota; Metazoa; Chordata; Mammalia; Rodentia; Muridae
Source: RNAcentral
UGCGCAGGUUAAGAGACCCUAGUUUAUGGAU